Molecule: ribosomal RNA, 1877 nt
Filed under: Eugerda sp. VTDes168
Lineage: Eukaryota; Metazoa; Arthropoda; Malacostraca; Isopoda; Desmosomatidae
Description: SSU rRNA
Rfam family: Eukaryotic small subunit ribosomal RNA
Source: RNAcentral
UGCCAGUCAUAUGCUUGUCUCAAAGAUUAAGCCAUGCAUGUCUGAGUACAGACCGAUCUAAGGUGAAACCGCGAAUGGCUCAUUAAAUCAGCUAUAAUUCCUUGGAUAGUGAAAAACUUUCCUCGGAUAACUGUGGAAAAUCCAGAGCUAAUACGUGCAACUGAGCUCCGACCUAGGCGUGAGUCGUGGGAAGAGCGCAUUUAUUAGAUUCAAAACUGACCGGCGUACUCCCUCGGGAUGCGCCGUUUGUCAAAAGUUUGAUGAUUCCGGAUAACUUUAGCCGAGCGCUACGGUCUUUAGUACCGGCGCCGUAUCUUUCAAGUGUCUGCCUUAUCAGCUUUCGAUUGUAGGUUAAACGCCUACAAUGGCUGUAACGGGUAACGGGGAAUCAGGGUUCGAUUCCGGAGAGGGAGCCUGAGAAACGGCUACCACAUCUAAGGAAGGCAGCAGGCACGCAAAUUACCCACUCCCAGCCCGGGGAGGUAGUGACGAAAAAUAACGAUGCGAGACUCUUCCGAGGCCUCGCAAUCGGAAUGAGUCCAUUUUAAAUCCUUGGACGAGGAUCCAUUGGAGGGCAAGUCUGGUGCCAGCAGCCGCGGUAAUUCCAGCUCCAAUAGCGUAUAUUAAAGUUGCUGCGGUUAAAAAGCUCGUAGUUGGACUUUCUAGAUCCAUUUCGUGGGUGAGUCGCUCUUUUUACUAGCGUCUCGUGCCGUCCCCUGAUGACGUCGCCGCGGCGUUCUUCUUUCUCGGCUUCUGUCGAUUAAGGAUUUCCCGGCGUUACMCAAUCUCGCGGGCGUCGAGGCGUUGUUUUAGAGUAUAGCUCGUCCGCGUUUGGUACAAUUAAAAUUUUGUCGGCUCGCUCGGAGUGCUCUUUACCGAGUGUUCCAGGGUGGCUGACMCGUUCACUUUGAAAAAAUUAGAGUGCUUAAAGCAUGGCUUAUUUACGGCCUGAAUGUCUGUGCAUGGAAUGAAGUAACAGGACCUCGAUUCUGUUGUUUUUGUCGGUUUUAAUGAACCGAGGUAAUGAUUAAAAGGGACAGACGGUGGCAUUAGUAUUGCGACGCUAGAGGUGAAAUUCUUGGACCGUCGCAAGACUAACUACUGCGAAAGCAUUUGCCGAGAAUGUUUUCAUUAAUCAAGAACGAAAGUUAGAGGAUCGAAGGCGAUCAGAUACCGCCCUAGUUCUAACCCUAAACUAUGCUAACUAGCGAUCCGCCGGAGUCAUUCCCACGACCCGGCGGGAAGCCCCAGGGAAACCAAAGUCUUUGAGUUCCGGGGGAAGUAUGGUUGCAAAGCUGAAACUUAAAGGAAUUGACGGAAGGGCACCACCAGGAGUGGAGCCUGCGGCUUAAUUUGACUCAACACGGGAAACCUCACCAGGCCCGGACAUCAUUAGGAUUGACAGGUUGAGAGCUCUUUCUCGAUUUGAUGGGUGGUGGUGCAUGGCCGUUCUUAGUUGGUGGAGUGAUUUGUCUGGUUGAUUCCGAUAACGAACGAGAUUCUACCCUACUAACUAGUCGGCGGAUCGUAACCCUGAGAUGGUUAGUUUGUAUAGGAGAGUUUUGCCUAGGCGAACGAUCGGUCGAAGGAGAAGAGGGGUAGUGGCUCUGUUUUGUUAUUCUCUAGCGGAGUGUUCGACCUUUCUCUCUCUAAAGAUUUGAGACUUUGUCUAAUCGGCUUUCUGAUUGCAACUACUGCUGGGGGCGUCCGUCCCAUUAUAUCUUCUUAUAGGGAUCAGCGGCGUAUAGCCGCACGACAAAAAGCAAUAACAGGUCUGUGAUGCCCUUACAUGUUCUGGGCCGCACGCGCGCUACACUGUAAGGCUCAGCGUGCUUUCCCCCUCCCAUCGGAGCGGGUAACCCGUUGAAACCCCUACC